GCCGGGGUGUCGGAACCGGUAGACGAGGCGGACUCAAAAUCCGUUGGGCGCGAGCCCGUGCGGGUUCGAAUCCCGCCCCCGGCACCG
Molecule: transfer RNA, 87 nt
Filed under: Thermaerobacter marianensis DSM 12885
Lineage: Bacteria; Bacillati; Bacillota; Clostridia; Eubacteriales; Clostridiales Family XVII. Incertae Sedis
Also listed under: 1 other name
Description: tRNA-Leu
Rfam family: tRNA
About the family: Transfer RNA (tRNA) molecules are approximately 80 nucleotides in length. Their secondary structure includes four short double-helical elements and three loops (D, anti-codon, and T loops).
Source: RNAcentral